CUGCUGCCUCCCGUAGGAGUUUGGGCCGUGUCUCAGUCCCAAUGUGGCCGUCCACCCUCUCAGGCCGGCUACUGAUCGUCGCCUUGGUGGGCCGUUACCUCACCAACUAGCUAAUCAGACGCGGGUCCAUCUUACACCACCUCAGUUUUUCACACUCGACCAUGCGGUCCUGUGCGCUCAUGCGGUAUUAGCACCUAUUUCUAAGUGUUAUCCCCCUGUGUAAGGCAGGUUACCCCACGCGUUACUCACCCGUCCGCCAA
Molecule: ribosomal RNA, 260 nt
Filed under: uncultured bacterium
Lineage: Bacteria
Description: partial 16S ribosomal RNA
Source: RNAcentral